ACACGGGGGGCGCAAGCGUUAUUCGGAAUUAUUGGGCGUAAAGGGCGUGUAGGCGGUUUUAUCGGUCAGAUGUGAAAGCCCAGGGCUCAACCCUGGACGUGCAUUUGAAACAGUAAGAUUUGAGUACGGUAGAGGAAAGCGGAAUUCCUGGUGUAGAGGUGAAAUUCGUAGAUAUCAGGAGGAACACCGAUGGCGAAGGCAGCUUUCUGGACCGAAACUGACGCUGAUGCGCGAAGGCGUGGGUAGCGAACAGGAUUAGAUACCCGGGUAGUCC
RNAcentral lists this ribosomal RNA (274 nucleotides) under uncultured bacterium. RNAcentral's name for it is "partial 16S ribosomal RNA". It matches the Rfam family "Bacterial small subunit ribosomal RNA", at positions 523 to 796 of the family's 1533-position model. The record is from RNAcentral.